AGAUGUCCAUCAUCCCUCAGGACCCGGUGCUGUUUACAGGCUCCAUGAGGAAGAACUUGGACCCCUUCAACCAGCACUCUGAUGAAGACCUGUGGAGAGCUCUGGAGGAGGUGCAGCUCAAGUCUGCGGUGGAGGAGCUGCCCGGGAGGUU
This is a non-coding RNA of Plectropomus leopardus (leopard coralgrouper), 151 nucleotides long. The record is from RefSeq and is a predicted model, not a curated record. NCBI's taxonomy places the organism in Eukaryota, Metazoa, Chordata, Actinopteri, Perciformes, Serranidae.